GGGGACCUGCGGGGCCCUAUAUCGAAACGGACCGAAAGGUCCAAAGCUACGGAAGACAGAGA
Molecule: non-coding RNA, 62 nt
Filed under: unclassified sequences
Description: L2-Alphaproteobacteria ribosomal protein leader
Rfam family: L2-Alphaproteobacteria ribosomal protein leader
Source: RNAcentral